GUCGCCUUGUGGGUGUCCCGUGAGGUGUGGCGGCGUGGAAGGCGUGCAGGGCGUGUGUAGGCGUGGCGUGGCGUGUGUUAGUGUUGCCACUCACGGGACGCCGCGGAAACACUCGGGGCAACAGGGACUUGGCGUCACAGCACCUAUCAGCGAACAGCAGCAGCAGCAGCAGCAGCAGCAGCAGCAGUGUCGGGCGUGAAGAGGCGCACCUUCACAACAGACUCCCAGGCACGCCCCAACCCACGCCGCCACGCUGCGUGGCAUGGGCUUGGGCGCAUUUGUAUUACUCUCCAUCCCUGGCCGGUUACUGCUGCUCCGGAAAUAAGUAGCAUGUAAAGAAACUAACAAGAAAUGAUAAAUAAAUAAAUCUCACUUUUCAUGA
Long non-coding RNA from Portunus trituberculatus (swimming crab), 382 nucleotides. RefSeq lists it as uncharacterized. NCBI's taxonomy places the organism in Eukaryota, Metazoa, Arthropoda, Malacostraca, Decapoda, Portunidae. The record is from RefSeq and is a predicted model, not a curated record. The transcript is spliced from 2 exons.